GUAGGUGGCAAGCGUUGUCCGGGAAUUAUUGGGGCGUAAAGCGCGCGCAGGCGGUUCGUUUAAGUCUGAUGUGAAAGCCCACGGGCUCAACCGUGGAGGGUCAUUGGAAACUGGAGAACUUGAGUACAGAAGAGGAAAGCGGAAUUCCACGUGUAGCGGUGAAAUGCGUAGAGAUGUGGAGGAACACCAGUGGCGAAGGCGGCUUUCUGGUCUGUAACUGACGCUGAGGCGCGAAAGCGUGGGGAGCAAACAGGAUUAGAUACCCUGGUAGUCCACGCCGUAAACGAUGAGUGCUAAGUGUUAGGGGGGUUUCCGCCCCCUUAGUGCUGCAGCUAACGCAUUAAGCACUCCGCCUGGGGAGUACGGCCGCAAAGGCUG
Molecule: ribosomal RNA, 378 nt
Filed under: uncultured organism
Description: partial 16S ribosomal RNA
Rfam family: Bacterial small subunit ribosomal RNA
Source: RNAcentral